AAAACGGCCCUUUUCAGGGCUACCAAUAAAGUAAAGCAAAAGAACU
Molecule: non-coding RNA, 46 nt
Organism: Anopheles atroparvus
Lineage: Eukaryota; Metazoa; Arthropoda; Insecta; Diptera; Culicidae
Source: Rfam